Molecule: ribosomal RNA, 253 nt
Filed under: uncultured bacterium
Lineage: Bacteria
Description: partial 16S ribosomal RNA
Rfam family: Bacterial small subunit ribosomal RNA
Source: RNAcentral
CACGGGGGGAGCAAGCGUUGUUCGGAAUCACUGGGCUUAAAGGGCGCGUAGGCGGGUCUCCAAGUCGGUGGUGAAAUCUUUCGGCUCAACCGGAAAACAGCCGCCGAUACUGGGGGUCUCGAGGGAGGUAGGGGUCGAUGGAACUUCCGGUGGAGCGGUGAAAUGCGUAGAUAUCGGAAGGAACGCCGGUGGCGAAAGCGAUCGACUGGACCUUUUCUGACGCUGAGGCGCGAAAGCCUGGGGAGCAAACGGG